RNAcentral lists this ribosomal RNA (497 nucleotides) under uncultured bacterium. Its description in RNAcentral is "partial 16S ribosomal RNA". It matches the Rfam family "Bacterial small subunit ribosomal RNA", at positions 28 to 507 of the family's 1533-position model. The record is from RNAcentral.
GAUGAACGCUGGCGGCGUGCCUAAUACAUGCAAGUCGAGCGAACAGACGAGGAGCUUGCUCCUCUGACGUUAGCGGCGGAGGGGUGAGUAACACGUGGAUAACCUACCUAUAAGACGGGGAUAACUUCGGGAAACCGGAGCUAAUGCCGGAUAAUAUAUUGAACCGCAUGGUUGAAUAGUGAAAGACGGUUUUGCUGUCACUUCUAGAUGGAUCCGCGCCGCAUUAGCUAGUUGGUACGGUAACGGCUUACCAAGGCAACGAGGCGUAGCCGACCUGAGAGGGUGAUCGGCCACACGGGAACUGAGACACGGUCCAGACUCCUACGGGAGGCAGCAGUAGGGAAUCUUCCGCAAUGGGCGAAAGCCUGACGGAGCAACGCCGCGUGAGUGAUGAAGGUCUUCGGAUCGUAAAACUCUGUUAUGAGGGAAGAACAAAUUUGUAAGUAACUAUGCACGUCUUGACGGUACCUAAUCAGAAAGCCACGGCUAACUACGUG